This 497-nucleotide ribosomal RNA is filed under the name uncultured bacterium. RNAcentral describes it as "partial 16S ribosomal RNA". It matches the Rfam family "Bacterial small subunit ribosomal RNA", at positions 28 to 507 of the family's 1533-position model. The record is from RNAcentral.
GAUGAACGCUGGCGGCGUGCCUAAUACAUGCAAGUCGAGCGAACAGAUGAGGAGCUUGCUCCUCUGACGUUAGCGGCGGACGGGUGAGUAACACGUGGAUAACCUACCUAUAAGACUGGGAUAACUUCGGGAAACCGGAGCUAAUACCGGAUAAUAUAUUGAACCGCAUGGUUCAAUAGUGAAAGACGGUUUUGCUGUCACUUAUAGAUGGAUCCGCGCCGCAUUAGCUAGUUGGUAAGGUAACGGCUUACCAAGGCGACGAUGCGUAGCCGACCUGAGAGGGUGAUCGGCCACCCUGGAACUGAGACACGGUCCAGACUCCUACGGGAGGCAGCAGUAGGGAAUCUUCCGCAAUGGGCGAAAGCCUGACGGAGCAACGCCGCGUGAGUGAUGAAGGUCUUCGGAUCGUAAAACUCUGUUAUUAGGGAAGAACAAAUGUGUAAGUAACUAUGCACGUCUUGACGGUACCUAAUCAGAAAGCCACGGCUAACUACGUG